Molecule: long non-coding RNA, 2093 nt
Organism: Arvicola amphibius (Eurasian water vole)
Lineage: Eukaryota; Metazoa; Chordata; Mammalia; Rodentia; Cricetidae
Exons: 2
Source: RefSeq, a predicted model, not a curated record
CCUGCCGGCCCCGGGGCCAGACGGCGUGGCGGGGCCCCUCACCUGGAUGACCUCGUUGACCUCCCGGAUACAUUCCACCAUGUGCUGCAGGAUCUGCUCGGCCGUGAGCACCUCGUAGCGGUAAUCCUCCUCCUGCUCGUGCCCCGGGCCACCGCCGCCACCGCCGCCGCCGCCACCUCCUCCAGGCCCCAGAGCGCUGCCGCCGCCGCCGCCCGUCUCCCCGCACAGCAGUCCGUCCCGCUCCCCGCCGACGCCCAGCCCGGGCUCCACCAGCUCCACCUCGCCCAGGUCCAGGUUAUCAUCGUCCGGCUCGUCCUCGUCGUCGUCCUCCUCCUCCUCGGCGCCGCUGUCCUCCUCGCUGCACUCCUCGUCCUCGUCGAACUCGUAGUUGUAGCCUUCGUCCGAGUCCAUGGCGCGACGCGCGCGGGCCCGGCGGACGCUGGCCGCGGCGCGGAGAGGGCGGGGACGCCGAAGCCCCGGCUCUCGCUCCGGCUCCGGCUGCCGUCCGGACGCAGGCCUGGUUCCGGCCCCGUGGGCCGCGGCUGCUCCCCCGGUGCGGCGGUUGGAGGUGGGCGGCGGCGGAGGCCGGGAGGGCGCGGAGCAGGGCGGGAGGGAGCGCGGGGGCCGCUUGCUGCCCGCCUCAGUCAGACACCGCUCCGCUCCGGCCUCGGACAGAAAACAGUCCCCAGCGCCACCUCCGCGGCCGCUGCUACCGCUACUGAGCCAACAAAGGGGCGUGCGUCACCGCGUCGCGCUGCGUCAUCGCGUCGGUCCCCUGUGCGUCACCGCGCCACGCCCCUUGGCCCCUGCGUAGUAAGAGGGGAGACCCCACGGCUGGGCUGGAGAAGGACCUGAGCACGGCGGCACGGGGACGGUCGGGCUGGACUGAGAACCCGCAGGUCCUUGUGGCUGAGGCCUUCCGGUCGCUGGGAGGGGCCCGGGGAGCGCCCAGGCAGAGGUUUUUCACCGCCGCCGUCCCCGCUUUGGGGCCUCACAGGCACUGCUCGCCCGCCCAGGCUAGUUCCGGAAAGCCGUCUGCUGCUCUGCUAAAAUUCCGGUUGCCUGAGUUACUGCCUGGAGGGUGGUAGUACGCGGAACUCCAAAUUGUAUGACAGGUCUCCAUAAAAACUUGAAGACUGGAAAAAAGAGAAGAAAGAGGAGGGAGAGGCUGAAUGUCCAUUUCUUCUGCACCACUCCUUAUCUGGGACUUCUCUGAGGCACAUGCCUAUCUCACCUCCCACAUCUGCAGUUUUUAAUACUGAAUUACAAGUUAAGAUUGAUACAGAAAUCAAAACAGACAGGCUACAAAGCCCACAGUACAGCGUGCUUGUCACUGCAUGAAGAACUGCAGCUUGGAGUUAGCUGCCACAGCCUAGGAGCAGCAGUGCUGGGUGUGUCCCAAGAACACCAAAGCUUUCAGAAAUGAAAAAGCUUGUCUUCUGUCUUUUACUUAUUUUUGUUUUUUUGUUCUUCUGGUAUCUUCUUUUGGAAACAAUACCAUGAUUUAAAAGUCAUAAUAGGGCUCUGGACAGCUCAGUAUCACAGUAUUUGCCUAGCAAACACAAGGGACUGUGCUCAGUUCUCAGCACAAAACAGCUACAACCAACUUUCCAACUCCAGCAACCAAAUGUCACCUCUUCCAGUCAGGUUUUCAAGAUGGCAGAGAUCAAAUUUCUCUAUACCCUCAGUCAAUAUCAGAAGAGUGAUAAUGGAAAGCCUAUGGUAUUUGACUUCUUGUCUAGAAUUUUCUAUGAAUUGCUUCACAUUUUGCUUUUAUGAACAGCUAAUAUUGAGCUGGCUGGCUGAGUGGGUCAACAUUUCUUAGCUUCGUGGCAUGAACUUGAUCCCUAGGACCCACAUGAUGGAAGAAAAACCAAUUCUUACAAGUUUUCCUUUGCCCUACAUAUGUACAUGUAUGUAUGUACAUUCACAUACUAAAUAAAAAAAAUAGGGAGUUUAACAUGCUUAGAAGUGUGAGUAACAUCGUUGCUGAAACACUAGAAUUUCCAUUUUAAAGAGUUUUAAAGGGCAAAAAAAUACUAAAAUCACCACAUUGUCUCUCUGUGUUCCUAAAUAAAAUGGUCCCAAAGUGC